GUGGUGGCAGUCCUGCAGCAAAGGGUCCAUGGAGGAAGGCCCGGGUGUAGAGACGUGGGGCCGACUCCCCGCAAGGCCAGCGCCUCUCACCUCCUCCCCCUUGAACUCCCGUGCAGGCGAGAUGGCCGCGCUCAGACAGCAGCUCCAGGACACUCAGCGGGAGAGAGACCAGCACCUGCAGGAGGUCCGGGAGCUGCGAAGACAGCUCUCAAGGAACAGCUCCGGUGGGGCCGGUCUCAGGCUGCACAGCCUGGGCCUGCUGGCUCUGCCCCUCGCCGCGGCCCUGCUCUGCUGAGAGCAGCGGGAGCAGUGUCCAGGUCUGGGCAGGCAGCAGGAGCCCGUCCCGCUCCCGGGUCAGCAGUGCAAACGUGGGCUCGACCCCUGCCCGCCCCCCUGUGCCGGGCAGCCCCGUGGGACCCGGCCUGAGCUGCUCGCGCACUGCAGACCCGCCCGUGCGUGCUCUUGGACCGCGCGCGGAGCUGGCUCCUGCCCCCGUGGAAGCCCCCGGCACACCGCGUGCGGCGCGUGGACCCCGACGGGGCAACAAGGCCGAGGAGGGAGCCGCACCUCAGCUCAAGCCCUGGAGCAUGGAGGCUGGCCAUGGCCCCUGCCCCGGCUGAGCGCUGCCCUUGGGUGCCUUUCUCUAAUAAACGUCUGUCCGCCACCGCGGCCCAGAAGCCCUUUGCUCCGCCGCGUCGCGGGCCGUGUGCGCGAGCUGCGGGGCAGCCGGGGUGGGUGAGGGGGUCCGGGCAGGGCCCCCCCGGGCGCACAGACCCCGCACGCGGUGC
Alligator sinensis (Chinese alligator) is the source of this 788-nucleotide long non-coding RNA. RefSeq lists it as uncharacterized. NCBI's taxonomy places the organism in Eukaryota, Metazoa, Chordata, Crocodylia, Alligatoridae. The transcript is spliced from 3 exons. The record is from RefSeq and is a predicted model, not a curated record.